This is a small nucleolar RNA of Sorghum bicolor (sorghum), 127 nucleotides long. It matches the Rfam family "Small nucleolar RNA snoR111". NCBI's taxonomy places the organism in Eukaryota, Viridiplantae, Streptophyta, Magnoliopsida, Poales, Poaceae. The record is from Rfam.
AUAACGGCGGGGGCACGAAUUCUUCCGUGCUGCGCCGCCCACGCAAGGAGGGGAUAGAUCGACGCGUCAAGAAAUCGUUUCAGUUGCCAUGACUCCAGUAGGCAAUAUGAUUGUUGCUUGACUACAG